CUGAAAUUAACAUUAAGAUUUAAAUUGUGAACCGAUUUCGUACAGAUCGUGUGAAUAGUCGUGCGCUCACUUUUUUUUUUAAAUUAUAAACACAGCCUUAAGGCUUUUGAAAGCCUUUGAUCCUUUGAAACAUAAAAUCUUAUAUGUAAAACGGGUUAGGGAUCAUGGAAUUGUUAGGAACAUGCUCUAACACGCCCGAAUUAUCACAAUCGUGCUACUUCGGCUUUUUUUAAGACCUAUAUAUGCUCGUUGACCUAUAUCAACAUGGCGAUGACUAUGGUUAUCAAAAACACAUAAUUAAAUGUUUUAUGGCAUGUGAAGAAAUUAGAACAUUACCUUACAGUGAACUCCUUAGAUACUCCAUGGAAAUGAAGAAUUAUUUUAUCAAUCUUGAUUGUAACUGUGUAUUUACAUAGAAUGUUAUUUUAUUGCAGUUUAAGUGAUACAUAGUAAUUUAGAAAGAUUAAAUAAAAGUAAAUUUCUGAAGGAUAAAAAGAGUAUGUUUUAAAUAACAUUACAUUCCAGCAAGAAAUGUCAAUAAUAAAUAGCAUCUCCGAUGCUAUUUAUGAGAAAAUAUUAUGCUUUUACAUUUUUAUAUCAUAGAUAUCUUUCAAAUGCAUUGGCAGUACGGUGUACAAGAAAGUGUAAUAUUUGAUGCUUUGAAAAAUAGUGUUUACAUAUUCAAUGUGUCAAUGUGCCACAGCACGUAAUUGAAAUUCGUUAUAAACUAUAAACAUAUAUUUUAAUCAAAUAACAUGUUUAUUUUUAUGUGGCAUAGGCUGGAAGAAAAAAUUCCACAUUACUAUGUACUAUAUAUAAACUAAACUGACAAACGGGAAAGAUAUAUAAAUAACUCUUAAAAAUGGCUAAACAUGUACUUUGUUCAAACUGGCUUCAAGCAAUUUAUCUCCUUGUAUGCAGUAUGUAUAAUGAAAUAAGAAAAUAUAUACAACAAUAUUUUCAUAAGCUACAUAGCUGCUGACUUGGCAUGUGGGAAGGUCUCACACCUGAAUUAUUGAAUUUCUACAACUCUGUAAUUUUUUCUGUGUGGUAAUUCACUACCAAUCUUCACAUUUAACAUAAAUGCAACAUCCUGUGUGUAAUAUAAUUGUACAGAAGAAAUGUUUUAGAAUCAUUUGAGUGUGAUGGAGUAAAUGUAUUCUAUAUUAUUCAUACUGCUUCUAAGUAGAGGCUCUUGAAAGCCUGGGUGGUUUUACCAUAGUAUGUAUUGACUUCCCUUAACUUAUGCAAUGAAAAUUCACUUUUGAUCUAGGUUUUAUCAAAAUUUAAGAAAAUGCUAGCUUAGAUGUGUGCUUGUGCUGAAUUAAAAGGAUUUUUGUUUACCAUGUGUUUUGAGGAAUUAAAAACCUGUUAACUUUA
Bacillus rossius redtenbacheri is the source of this 1380-nucleotide long non-coding RNA. RefSeq lists it as uncharacterized. The record is from RefSeq and is a predicted model, not a curated record. The transcript has 2 exons. NCBI's taxonomy places the organism in Eukaryota, Metazoa, Arthropoda, Insecta, Phasmatodea, Bacillidae.